CUCUAGCGAGACUGCCGGUAAUAAACCGGAGGAAGGUGGGGAUGACGUCAAAUCAUCAUGCCCCUUAUGUCCUGGGCUACACACGUGAUACAAUGGCUGGUACCAAGGGUAGCCAAACCCGGGCGGCAGGGCAAUUUCCCAAAGCCAGUCUCAGUUCGGAUUGCAGGCUGCAACUCGCCUACAUGAAGUCGGAAUCGCUAGUAAUCGCGGAUCAGCACGCCGCGGUGAAUACGUUCCCGGGCCUUGUACACACCGCCCGUCACACCAUGAGAGUUUNGUAACACCCGAAGUCGGUNGGGUAACCGUAAGGAGNCNGCCGCCUAA
This 324-nucleotide ribosomal RNA is filed under the name uncultured bacterium. RNAcentral's name for it is "bacterial SSU rRNA". It matches the Rfam family "Bacterial small subunit ribosomal RNA", at positions 1138 to 1460 of the family's 1533-position model. The record is from RNAcentral.